This 450-nucleotide long non-coding RNA is filed under the name Equus caballus (horse). RNAcentral's name for it is "lncRNA (ENSECAG00000054643.1)". Lineage: Eukaryota; Metazoa; Chordata; Mammalia; Perissodactyla; Equidae. The record is from RNAcentral.
GUCCAAACUAAUCUUUGGCAAUGGGAACAGGAAACUAGGGGAUGUGGAAUGGGCCCCUCUCCCCCUCCUGAGCACCAGGAUAUAUGGAAUAGAGGAGACGCCCAAAUCACACAGGCAAAGGGGACGAGAUAGCUGGAUUUUUUUUCUUCUGUUAUGGUCCCUGUCCCCGAGGGUCAUCCUUUCCACCAAGCUCAUUUCUCUCACUGGCAUGACCUCCGUGGCUUCUGAAAGUAACCUGUCAAUUAAUGAUUAAACACAUCAAUGGGUGAAUGAGGAAGGCAAACCAGGGCCUGAUCCUAAUGAAGACACUGAGAGGCAGCUCCUUUCGUCUGAGGAGGUUGAAGAGUUGCCUCAGAGCAGCCUUCCAUUCAGUCUGUGGAACUUCCAUGCACGAUACUCAGAGUCCUCUCAUCCGACUAGUCACCUACAUACACUUUGAACUGCUUUUAG